RNAcentral lists this ribosomal RNA (253 nucleotides) under uncultured bacterium. RNAcentral describes it as "partial 16S ribosomal RNA". It matches the Rfam family "Bacterial small subunit ribosomal RNA", at positions 524 to 776 of the family's 1533-position model. The record is from RNAcentral.
UACGUAGGGGGCAAGCGUUGUCCGGAAUCAUUGGGCGUAAAGCGCGCGUAGGCGGCCCGGUAAGUCCGCUGUGAAAGUCGGGGGCUCAACCCUCGGAUGCCGGUGGAUACUGUCGGGCUUGAGUGCGGAAGAGGCGAGUGGAAUUCCUGGUGUAGCGGUGAAAUGCGCAGAUAUCAGGAGGAACACCAAUUGCGAAGGCAGCUCGCUGGGACGUUACUGACGCUGAUGCGCGAAAGCGUGGGGAGCAAACAGG